This 253-nucleotide ribosomal RNA is filed under the name uncultured bacterium. RNAcentral describes it as "partial 16S ribosomal RNA". It matches the Rfam family "Bacterial small subunit ribosomal RNA", at positions 524 to 776 of the family's 1533-position model. The record is from RNAcentral.
UACGUAGGGGGCAAGCGUUAUCCGGAUUUACUGGGUGUAAAGGGGGCGCAGACGGCGAUGCAAGCCAGGAGUGAAAGCCCGGGGCCCAACCCCGGGACUGCUCUUGGAACUGCGUGGCUGGAGUGCAGGAGGGGCAGGCGGAAUUCCUGGUGUAGCGGUGAAAUGCGUAGAUAUCAGGAGGAACACCGGUGGCAAAGGCGGCCUGCUGGACUGCAACUGACGUUGAGGCCCGAAAGCGUGGGGAGCAAACAGG